AUUUUGAAAAUUGUAAGGUCACUUUUUUUGUGAUGCGACCUCAAUUAAUGUAAAUACUUCUAUAAUUAUGUCAUUCACAUUUUGGCCCAUUUUCUAAUGUAACUGAAAAAAAUGAACAUGAAAUUACCUUCUACUAUCUUGUCUGAGUCUUUAUAUUUUCCUCCUGUAUACACUAAUAUUCUUUUUCCAACUAGAAUGUGAUGAAAAAUAAUCGAUUUUCUCCCCACAGAAUAUUUAAAAUAACACAAUGCAUACUUAGUCAAAGCCUAUUAUGUUCUCCAAGUUAAACCAGAGAGUUGCUGGACCCAGAAGGAAAUAAGAAAACAGGUAGAAUCAUUAAAUCAUCAUUCCCAGGCUUCCUUGACAUGAAAUGUAGACAUUUGACCAGCUUUCAUCCAGCAAACUCACUCACAAGAAACAUAAAAGGUGAUGCUAAGCAGUAUAGAUCAAUGCAGUCUCCUAGUCAGAAGAGCAUGUGAGCUAAAAUUGCCUGGGCUUCCAUUUUUGGACUGAAAUUCCCUGCUCCCUGCUAGGGAACCAAGGGUAAGUUGAAUUGCUCACAAAAGGGGGAGGAAUAAUAGUUAAUUGUUGAC
Molecule: long non-coding RNA, 593 nt
Filed under: Sus scrofa (pig)
Lineage: Eukaryota; Metazoa; Chordata; Mammalia; Artiodactyla; Suidae
Description: lncRNA (ENSSSCG00030028130.1)
Source: RNAcentral